CAAGAAAGUUAUCAUUUAUUUAGAAGAAUGACCAUGUUUAUUAUUUAAAAGCUCAGAUUGAAUUUCAUAAGUAAACAUCAAGGAGUUUUGCCCUCAGCCAUUAAUUUGUCGUUUUUCCAGGAGUUUGAGCUGGUAAAAUAUUGCCUCCACGAAUAAGAAUAGGUAUUGUAUCAACUGGAGCAGGAAGUGUGAAAUUUUGCCCUUUAGAAAUGACAAAAGAUUUAUUAUAGAAAUCAAACCAUAA
This 244-nucleotide unclassified non-coding RNA is filed under the name Chelonus insularis. RNAcentral describes it as "zinc finger protein 250-like, transcript variant X3". The record is from RNAcentral. Lineage: Eukaryota; Metazoa; Arthropoda; Insecta; Hymenoptera; Braconidae.